RNAcentral lists this ribosomal RNA (253 nucleotides) under uncultured bacterium. RNAcentral's name for it is "partial 16S ribosomal RNA". It matches the Rfam family "Bacterial small subunit ribosomal RNA", at positions 524 to 776 of the family's 1533-position model. The record is from RNAcentral.
UACGGGGGGGGCAAGCGUUGUUCGGAAUUACUGGGCGUAAAGGGCUCGUAGGUGGCCAACUAAGUCAGACGUGAAAUCCCUCGGCUUAACCGGGGAACUGCGUCUGAUACUGGAUGGCUUGAGUUUGGGAGAGGGAUGCGGAAUUCCAGGUGUAGCGGUGAAAUGCGUAGAUAUCUGGAGGAACACCGGUGGCGAAAGCGGCUCACUGGACCUCUUCUGACGCUGAGGCACGAAAGCUAGGGUAGCGAACGGG